AAGGAAAUUGCCAAGGCAUUGUUGAAGAAAAACGAAAAGACCACCGUUUCAGCGAAGGGAAAGGAAAAUGCAUGUUCAGUAGCACAUAACAAUAAUGUUAUAUCGAAAGCUGCAUUGGCUCAACGUGCACGACGAGAACGCGAAAGAAAUGAUAAGGCAAGCUCUUCAUAUCAAUUGGGACAACGUUCGCGACGUGAACGAGAGAGAUCGAGAGAAUUGAUUCCAUCGAGCACAACUAAUACUCCACCGACUUAGAAAGGAGUAAUGUUUGCACAUCUUACUUCGCCAAGCACAUCUUUAGCUUUACAAAGGAAUUGGCCUACUCAUGCAAGCCCAUUCCUCCAUGAGACUGGGAAUAUCAGUGUUGUUAUUCGCG
Camellia sinensis is the source of this 376-nucleotide non-coding RNA. Lineage: Eukaryota; Viridiplantae; Streptophyta; Magnoliopsida; Ericales; Theaceae. The record is from RefSeq and is a predicted model, not a curated record.